This 572-nucleotide ribosomal RNA is filed under the name uncultured bacterium. RNAcentral describes it as "partial 16S ribosomal RNA". It matches the Rfam family "Bacterial small subunit ribosomal RNA", at positions 355 to 919 of the family's 1533-position model. The record is from RNAcentral.
UGGGGAAUUUUGGACAAUGGGCGCAAGCCUGAUCCAGCCAUGCCGCGUGCGGGAAGAAGGCCUUCGGGUUGUAAACCGCUUUUGUCAGGGAAGAAAUCUUCUGAGUUAAUACCUCGGGAGGAUGACGGUACCUGAAGAAUAAGCACCGGCUAACUACGUGCCAGCAGCCGCGGUGAAUACGUAGGGUGGCAAGCGUUAAUCGGAAUUACUGGGCGUAAAGCGUGCGCAGGCGGUUUUGUAAGACAGAGGUGAAAUCCCCGGGCUCAACCUGGGAACUGCCUUUGUGACUGCAAGGCUUGAGUGCGGCAGAGGGGGAUGGAAUUCCGCGUGUAGCAGUGAAAUGCGUAGAUAUGCGGAGGAACACCGAUGGCGAAGGCAAUCCCCUGGGCCUGCACUGACGCUCAUGCACGAAAGCGUGGGGAGCAAACAGGAUUAGAUCCCUGGUAGUCCACGCCCUAAACGAUGUCAACUGGUUGUUGGGAAGGUUCCUUCUCAGUAACGUAGCUAACGCGUGAAGUUGACCGCCUGGGGAGUACGGCCGCAAGGUUGAAACUCAAAUGAAUUGACGGGGU